RNAcentral lists this non-coding RNA (24 nucleotides) under Arabidopsis thaliana (thale cress). The record is from RNAcentral. Lineage: Eukaryota; Viridiplantae; Streptophyta; Magnoliopsida; Brassicales; Brassicaceae.
UGAUUAAACCAAGAAUACCGUGCG